CAGGAAAUAGUUUAAUUAAAAUAUAAAUUUUGGAGAUUUAAGAUAGAUAAUAUUUUUUCCUGA
RNAcentral lists this transfer RNA (63 nucleotides) under Curculionidae sp. BMNH 1039956. Its description in RNAcentral is "tRNA-Pro". Lineage: Eukaryota; Metazoa; Arthropoda; Insecta; Coleoptera; Curculionidae. The record is from RNAcentral.